Molecule: long non-coding RNA, 1620 nt
Organism: Glycine soja
Lineage: Eukaryota; Viridiplantae; Streptophyta; Magnoliopsida; Fabales; Fabaceae
Exons: 3
Source: RefSeq, a predicted model, not a curated record
UUGUCACUAUCUUUUCUUUCUUUCUCUCUCGUCCCCUUUCUGUUAUUAUUCAGAAACUCUAUUGUGUGUGUUGUGCCAUUUAUUUUGCAUCUUUGUUAAUCUUCCGUUCCUCCCUCUUUCUCUUCCUUCUUUGUUCGAUUUUUUUUUUCACUUUGGUUUUUAUAUUGCUUUUGACGAAAAAAAGGUGUGACCUUUGUCUUUUUUAUUCCUUUUUUUUGUCUAAUUUUUUCUGGUGGGACAGGCUAACGGCGGUGUUGAAGGUCACGACGCUUUGCCCAUGCAAGGGCAUUCUUUGUUCGAUUUUUUUCCCCUUUGAUUUUUAAAUUGCUUUGGAUGGGAAAAAGGUGUGACCUUUGUCUAAUUCCGACGAGGUUCCACGGAAAAAAAGGUGUGACCUUUUGCAGCAAUAUCACUCACGGGGCAGUGUUGAAGACUAAAGGUUCCAUUUUUAUUUAUUUUAUUUCUUUUUUUUGUCUAAUUUUUUGUGGUGAUUUUUGGGACAAGCUAACGGUGGUGCUAAAGGUGACAGCGCUUUGCCAUGCAAGGGCCUUCUUUGUUCGAUUUUUUUUCGCUUUGGUUUUAAUAUUGCUUUGGACGGGAAAAAGGUGUGACCUUUGUUUGAUUCCGACAAGGUUCCAUGGAAAAAAGGUGUGACCUUUUGCAACAAUAUGAUUCACGGGGCAGUGUUGAAGAAUAAAGGUUCCAUUUUUAUCUAUUUUUUUGUCUAAUUUUUUGUGGUGAUUUUUGGGACAGACUAACGGCGGUGCUGAAGGUGACGGUGCUUUGCCAUGCAAGAGCCUUCUUUGUUUGAUUUUUUUUUUCGUUUUGGUUUUAAUAUUGCUUUGGACGGGAAAGAGGUGUGACCUUUGUCUAAUUCCAACGAGGUUCCAUUUUUAUCUAUUUUCCCCUUUGAUAGAAAAAAGGUGUGACCUUUCACAACAAUAUGAUUCGCAGGGCAAUGUUGAAGAAUAAAGGUUCAAUUUUUAUCUAUUUUAUUCCUUUUUGUUGUCUAAUUUUUUGUGGUGAUUUUUGGGACAGGCUAACGGCGGUGCUGAAGGUGGCAGCGUUUUGCCAUGCAAGGGUCUUCUUUGUUCGUUUUUUUUUUUCGCUUUGGUUUUUAUGUUGCUUUGGACGGGAAAAAGGCUAAUCGCGGUGCUGAAGGCGACGACACUUUGCUGGAUUUGUUCUUUAUUUAUGAGAAUAUUUGUGAUUUUUCUUUUUUCCCAAGACACUUCUCUUUUAUGGAAGACUAAAAGUGUCAUUUUUAUCUUCCACCACGAAUCUAUUCCAAGCACACUAUUUUUCUUAUUUUUCCCUAAACCUAAUCAAUUUUUUUUCCUCAUUUUUUGUGGUCGAUUUUUGGGACAGUUUGUAAUGUUGUUGUAAAUCUAACAUGUUGAGGCAACCCUUCACAAGGCAAUAGAACAUUGUCAUCCAAACCUGUGUUGUUUCAUCCUCUGGCAUAGCCUUUAGCGGAUGGUGAAGCUGCAUCUGAGAAGGUGACAAACAGUUACCAUGUUCUAAGACAAAUAGAGUGAUGAUGACCCCAUUUUGAUUGAUGGAGAAAUUUUUAUGUUACUUUGUUUUAACAGUUUAAAGUCAUAAUUUAAUCAUUAUGAU